AACUGUGGUCAUAUCACCCUGCAGCUCUCAACUGGCAACCCACCGGAGCUAAGCAGGGUUGAGCCUGGGUGGUCUUGGAUGGGAGACCUCCUGGGAAGCUAUGGUUGCUGCUGGAA
RNAcentral lists this ribosomal RNA (116 nucleotides) under Lepisosteus oculatus (spotted gar). Lineage: Eukaryota; Metazoa; Chordata; Actinopteri; Semionotiformes; Lepisosteidae. The record is from RNAcentral.